This 466-nucleotide ribosomal RNA is filed under the name uncultured bacterium. RNAcentral describes it as "partial 16S ribosomal RNA". It matches the Rfam family "Bacterial small subunit ribosomal RNA", at positions 28 to 507 of the family's 1533-position model. The record is from RNAcentral.
GACGAACGCUGGCGGCGCGCCUAACACAUGCAAGUCGAACGAGCGAGCGAGAGCUUGCUUUCUCGAGCGAGUGGCGAACGGGUGAGUAACGCGUGAGGAACCUGCCUCAAAGAGGGGGACAACAGUUGGAAACGACUGCUAAUACCGCAUAAGCCCACGGCUCGGCAUCGAGCAGGGGGAAAAGGAGCAAUCCGCUUUGAGAUGGCCUCGCGUCCGAUUAGCUAGUUGGUGAGGUAACGGCCCACCAAGGCGACGAUCGGUAGCCGGACUGAGAGGCUGAACGGCCACAUUGGGACUGGGACACGGCCCAGACUCCUACGGGAGGCAGCAGUGGGGAAUAUUGCACAACGGGGUAAACCCUGAUGCAGCGACGCCGCGUGGAGGAAGAAGGUCUUCGGAUUGUAAACUCCUGUUGUUGGGGAAGAUAAUGACGGUACCCAACAAGGAAGUGACGGCUAACUACGUG